Amblyraja radiata (thorny skate) is the source of this 279-nucleotide long non-coding RNA. RefSeq lists it as uncharacterized. NCBI's taxonomy places the organism in Eukaryota, Metazoa, Chordata, Chondrichthyes, Rajiformes, Rajidae. The transcript has 2 exons. The record is from RefSeq and is a predicted model, not a curated record.
CUUCAGAUGCAGAUGUGUUGACUUGCAUCUUCGAAACCAUCACAUCCUCCAUGAAAGAAUGUCGGGCCAUUCACGCCCAUCACAUGAAGGUUGAACUUUAAGGCUGCUUGCAGGACCAUUGUCAAAGCUGUAAGUCCUUCCUCUUCAGCACGAGGCUGCUUUGUGAUCAUCCAAUUCCUGCAGGAAACAACCUCUGGAUAAAACAGCAUCGCAUCGUUCCAUUGGCCUGAAAAUCGCUUCUUUGCAAAUCUAUCCUCUACCCACAGAAUGCGCUUGUUU